Molecule: ribosomal RNA, 468 nt
Filed under: uncultured bacterium
Lineage: Bacteria
Description: partial 16S ribosomal RNA
Rfam family: Bacterial small subunit ribosomal RNA
Source: RNAcentral
GACGAACGCUGGCGGCGUGCUUAACACAUGCAAGUCGAACGGAAAGGCCCUGCUUUUGUGGGGUGCUCGAGUGGCGAACGGGUGAGUAACACGUGAGUAACCUGCCCUUGACUUUGGGAUAACUUCAGGAAACUGGGGCUAAUACCGGAUAGGAGCUCCCGCUGCAUGGUGGGGGUUGGAAAUUUUCGGCGGUUGGGGAUGGACUCGCGGCUUAUCAGCUUGUUGGUGGGGUAGUGGCUUACCAAGGCUUUGACGGGUAGCCGGCCUGAGAGGGUGACCGGCCACAUUGGGACUGAGAGAGGGCCCAGACUCGUACGGGAGACAGCAGUGGGGAAUAUUGCACAAUGGGCCGAAGCCUGAUGCGACAACGCCGCGUGCGGGAUGACGGCCUUCGGGUUGUAAACCGCUUUCGCCUGUGACGAAGCGGGAGUGACGGUAAUGAGUAAAGAAGCACCGGCUAACUACGUG